ACGGAAGGCAGCAGUGGGGAAUAUUGGACAAUGGCCGGAAGGCCGAUCCAGCCAUGCCGCGUGAAGGCAGACGGUCCUAUGGAUUGUAAACUUCUUUUGUACGGGAGCAAUAAGGUCUACGUGUAGAUUGAUGAGAGUACCGUACGAAUAAGCAUCGGCUAACUCCGUGCCAGCAGCCGCGGUAAUACGGAGGAUGCGAGCGUUAUCCGGAUUUAUUGGGUUUAAAGGGUGCGUAGGCGGGCUGGUAAGUCAGCGGUGAAACGCAGGUGCUCAACACCUGACCUGCCGUUGAUACUGCCGGUCUUGAAUGCGGAUGCUGUGGGAGGAAUGUGUGGUGUAGCGGUGAAAUGCAUAGAUAUCACACAGAACACCGAUUGCGAAGGCAUCUCACAAAUCCGCAAUGACGCUGAGGCACGAAAGUGCGGGGAUCGAACAGGAUUAGAUACCCUGGUA
Molecule: ribosomal RNA, 453 nt
Filed under: uncultured Porphyromonadaceae bacterium
Lineage: Bacteria; Pseudomonadati; Bacteroidota; Bacteroidia; Bacteroidales; Porphyromonadaceae
Description: partial 16S ribosomal RNA
Rfam family: Bacterial small subunit ribosomal RNA
Source: RNAcentral